UACGAAGGGGGCUAGCGUUGCUCGGAAUUACUGGGCGUAAAGCGUGCGCAGGCGGUUCGUUAAGUCAGAUGUGAAAGCCCCGGGCUCAACCUGGGAACUGCAUUUGAAACUGGCGGGCUUGAGUAUGGCAGAGGGGGGUGGAAUUCCGCGUGUAGCAGUGAAAUGCGUAGAGAUGCGGAGGAACACCGAUGGCGAAGGCAGCCCCUGGGCCAAUACUGACGCUCAGGCACGAAAGCGUGGGGAGCAAACAGG
RNAcentral lists this ribosomal RNA (252 nucleotides) under uncultured bacterium. Its description in RNAcentral is "partial 16S ribosomal RNA". It matches the Rfam family "Bacterial small subunit ribosomal RNA", at positions 524 to 776 of the family's 1533-position model. The record is from RNAcentral.